CGGGUGUGGAAAACUAUGUAGCAGCAGUAUUAUGAUAGAAAAUGUGUGCAGGUGAAUUUGAAACUAUGAUGUUACUGAUCCAUAUAUACAUAGGAGUUAGUGUUUUUGUUUUGUGGCUGUUGUGAGGGUUUAGGAAGCAGCAACCAACGGGUAUUGAGUGGAUGAUUUAACAGUAUUGUCUGAUAGAAGUGAAGGUAAGAACAAGUAACAAGUACCUAGAAGAAAUGAUAACACGGUUAUGAUUGAAACAAUAAUAAUCCAGAUGUUUAGAUUAAAGCAGAUAGAAAACGACCAUGGAAGGGGAAAAGAAAGAGAAGCAUGGAGGAAUUGAAGUGAAGGCAAGUAACAUGGGAACACACACACUUUAUUCACCUGACACAUUGGAUAUGUACUUUAGUUCCUGUGGAGUGGGGUGUGUUCUUCACGCCAUCUUAUUCAUCUUCUACUUAGUGGAUAAAGAUAGCAUCCUCGCUCCUCUUUCGGGUGUCACUCUUAUGAUGAAAGCUUUUCAGUUUAUUCCUUAGCACCCCACACACCAACCCCGCCUACUUCACCAAUAUCUCUUCAAACUUUCAAACAACAAUUCAUAAUAUUCAUUCUUUCUUUCCCUUCUAAUAAAGCUUAUAUAUGCUCCAUUCUCCC
Molecule: long non-coding RNA, 642 nt
Filed under: Vigna radiata
Lineage: Eukaryota; Viridiplantae; Streptophyta; Magnoliopsida; Fabales; Fabaceae
Description: long non-coding RNA (VRAD_LNC003385)
Source: RNAcentral